AUGGUCAUGGGUGAAAUUAGGGACGAUGCCCAGCAGCAACAACUCACCAACACCUGCUCCGACGCCAUGGACCAACAGCAGCAACUGAAGGAUGUGGGUGAGGAAAGCGGACAUGCUCGAUGGACCGACAAGGUGGUGAAGGAUGAGCUUGUUCACUGGAAGAUGAGGAAGCUCACCGACUGCAUCUUCGUCGGCAUCAAUGCCAUCGUGCAUGUCGAUGUCAUCUUCACCAGGAUCAAUGCUCUCGUGCAUGUCGAUAUCAUCGAUAUCAUCUUCAUCGGGACCGACUCCUCUAGGUUGUUGUGUCGUGCUGGAGAUGCUGCCUGCUUCGAGCUGUUGCUGUUGCUGCCUACUUCAAGCCCUCCAGGAGGCGAUCUGGACCAAGUGGGGAGGCUAUCUGUAGCAGUACCUGGAGCUGCAUGGGAGGGCGCGGCGAUCUGGACCUGGGGCUGCCGAUCUGAAGCAGUACCCCCUCCGGCGAGCAGUACCUCGAUCUGA
RNAcentral lists this ribosomal RNA (498 nucleotides) under Triticum aestivum (bread wheat). Its description in RNAcentral is "partial small subunit ribosomal RNA". Lineage: Eukaryota; Viridiplantae; Streptophyta; Magnoliopsida; Poales; Poaceae. The record is from RNAcentral.